AUACGGAGGGUGCAAGCGUUAAACGGAAUUACUGGGCGUAAAGCGUACGUAGGCGGUUCGUUAAGUUAGAUGUGAAAGCCCCGGGCUUAACCUGGGAACUGCAUUUAAAACUGGCGAACUAGAGUUGAGUAGAGGGGAGUGGAAUUUCAGGUGUAGCGGUGAAAUGCGUAGAGAUCUGAAGGAACACCAGUGGCGAAGGCGACUCCCUGGACUCGAACUGACGCUGAGGUACGAAAGCGUGGGUAGCAAACGGGAUUAGAAACCCCAGUAGUCC
Molecule: ribosomal RNA, 274 nt
Filed under: uncultured bacterium
Lineage: Bacteria
Description: partial 16S ribosomal RNA
Rfam family: Bacterial small subunit ribosomal RNA
Source: RNAcentral